UACGUAGGCAGCGAGCGUUGUUCGGAGUUACUGGGCGUAAAGAGUGCGUAGGCGGUUUUCUAAGUUUGGUGUGAAAUCUCCCGGCUCAACUGGGAGGGUGCGCCGAAGACUGGAAGGCUUGAGUAUGGGAGAGGUAAGCGGAAUUCCUGGUGUAGCGGUGAAAUGCGUAGAUAUCUGGAGGAACACCGGUGGCGAAGGCGGCAUCCUGGACCGGCAUUGACGCUGAUGAGCGAAAGCCAGGGGAGCAAACGGG
Molecule: ribosomal RNA, 253 nt
Filed under: uncultured bacterium
Lineage: Bacteria
Description: partial 16S ribosomal RNA
Rfam family: Bacterial small subunit ribosomal RNA
Source: RNAcentral